Molecule: long non-coding RNA, 1183 nt
Organism: Carassius auratus (goldfish)
Lineage: Eukaryota; Metazoa; Chordata; Actinopteri; Cypriniformes; Cyprinidae
Exons: 5
Source: RefSeq, a predicted model, not a curated record
CACACGUGCUGGAGAUAUACUUCUAAUUACAGGAGCGUCUUUACUGAUGAGAUGUACAUGAAAAUCGUAUUCGGGUUUUUUUUUUUUUUUUGCUGCACAGUCCUACUGUGAUGUCAUGUUGCCUAGGAUCCUCCCAUGACUGUUGAUUGACAAUGGUGUGUGUUUUUUUUUUUUUUUUUAAUUGCAGACUCGUCCUGAGUGAGCUGCAAACAGUCUGGAGAAUGGCUCCCAGGCUGUUGAGAUGCUCUGUUGUUGGCUUUAAGGAUGAACAUGGCUGCCGUCACUUAGUCCCGACAUCUGAGCCGCUGAAGACGCAGUGGAUUACCUUUUUGUUUUUGAAGGGGCACACAAACACAUCAGGGUGCCCCUGAUCUACCUAAAUGUGUUUGUGUGCUCAUCAUUUUACACAAGACUGCUUUGUAAACGAGGGUCAGUACAAAGCAGGAUUUGCUACAAAAUUGAUCCUGAGGGAUGGAAACCAACUGUGUGUUAUCCAGCUUCACCUUCAGCAGAAUCAAGCUCGUCUAAAGAAUGGGCCAAGGUGCAUCAUGUGGCCUGUCAGACUGACACAACACAACUCUGCACAGUUGCCACCCAGCUGUCAAUAAAAACUCUACGGCAGGCUGAAGCUAAACUAUGCAGGAUAGUGGCCCUCCAGGAUUGGAGUUGCCUAUCCCUGCUCCAUGUCCUCACUACAAAAGCAGAGGCAUUUCAGCUCAAAUAUCGUUUGCUAAGUGCUGCCAGCUGCUUCUCCACACCAGUAAAUUUAAGAUCUGGGAUCUCCCAGCUUCCAGUCAUAAUUCUAACAGGUUUCACAAGUUUUCCCGUUAGACCAUCCUUCUGUCCGAGCGACUCUCUGGGCAGAUGGGGAGUGGCUUGCUGAUCUCAUCUGUCCGAACAUUCCCGACGGCUGAGAGGAUCCUGGCUGGUUGUUGUCCUCACUUUUCUCAAUAAUUUUUUCCAGUUCAUUUUGAUUUAUGUUAGUCAUUAAUACAUUUAUGAUCAAUUGACCUUCCUGUGACAUCUGUAAUUCCCGAUAGUAUGCCUUUUAAUACAGAAUUAACUGGGUCUUUAAAUUGUCCUGUUCCCAUUAAAGUCAAAUGUAUUUGAUUCUCUCGUCUGUUUAAUGUUUCUUUUAUUACUUCUGUUGAUAUUAUCCUGGCUUCUAACCAGGAGCGUCCUG